Gavialis gangeticus (Gharial) is the source of this 621-nucleotide long non-coding RNA. RefSeq lists it as uncharacterized. The transcript has 2 exons. NCBI's taxonomy places the organism in Eukaryota, Metazoa, Chordata, Crocodylia, Gavialidae. The record is from RefSeq and is a predicted model, not a curated record.
UGUAACGUGCUAUUUCUGCUCUGCCUCCUGCGUCUGACCUUCAGAUCCACUUGCUGUAAAUAAUUCAUGCUGGUAAAACUCCCGGCCGAGCGUGCUCGGGGAAGCAGGAGCAGAAGGGGACGUGAACUCCACCAGAGAGGGACUGUCUCAGUGCUCAUGACCCCAAGAUGGGGUGGAAGCAGAGAGGCCACCCCGUCUGUCCAAGCAAAGCACCUGACAUCACCGUUCCUGGCUGCAGUGUGCACAGAAAAUGCCCCACAUCUAGCAUAAUAUUAGCUUUUGUGGCCCUUCCAGAUCACCGUAGGAUCAGCCACUUCCCGCGGACCAUUCACUGCUCAAACUACACUUGUUGAAGUCAAUGGGGAGCCUGUUUCUUGACGUCAGUGGUUCUGGAUGAGGCUUCCUAGAGCUAGGAUUGUCCUGAUUUUGUAGCAUGCUUCACUCUAAGCCCCUUGUUGGUACUUAAUGAAUGAGGAGAAUAAUCUGCAGAAGUCUAAUGACUGCAUUCACAUUUAGGCAUUUCCUAGGAUUUAUGAGGCUCUGAUUGCUAUCCCCGCAACAUUUUCUAAAGAGUAAUUGCUAUUCACUAAUUGCAUCUAUAAAGCUCUUGUGGUGUCUCCA